RNAcentral lists this transfer RNA (74 nucleotides) under Caudoviricetes sp. Its description in RNAcentral is "tRNA-Arg". It matches the Rfam family "tRNA". From Rfam's summary of the family: Transfer RNA (tRNA) molecules are approximately 80 nucleotides in length. Their secondary structure includes four short double-helical elements and three loops (D, anti-codon, and T loops). Lineage: Duplodnaviria; Heunggongvirae; Uroviricota; Caudoviricetes. The record is from RNAcentral.
CUCGCCUUAUCUCAAUUGGAUAGAGAAACUGCCUUCUAAGCAGUAGGUUACAGGUUCGAAUCCUGUAGGCGAGA